AUACGGAGGGUGCAAGCGUUAUUCGGAAUCACUGGGCGUAAAGGACGCGUAGGCGGGUUGGCAAGUCAGAUUUGAAAUCCUACAGCUUAACUGUAGAACUGCAUUUGAAACUGCUGACCUAGAGUAUGGGAGGGGGAGAUGGAAUUAGUGGUGUAGGGGUAAAAUCCGUAGAUAUCACUAGGAAUACCGAAAGCGAAGGCGAUCUCCUGGAACAUAACUGACGCUAAGGCGUGAAAGCGUGGGGAGCAAACAGGAUUAGAAACCCUAGUAGUCC
This 274-nucleotide ribosomal RNA is filed under the name uncultured bacterium. RNAcentral describes it as "partial 16S ribosomal RNA". It matches the Rfam family "Bacterial small subunit ribosomal RNA", at positions 523 to 796 of the family's 1533-position model. The record is from RNAcentral.